AAUGAUGGAAUGACUCUCGGCAACGGAUAUCUCGGCUCUCGCAUCGAUGAAGAACGCAGCGAAAUGCGAUACGUGGUGUGAAUUGCAGAAUCCCGUGAACCAUCGAGUUUUUGAACGCAAGUUGCGCCCGAGGCCAUUCGGCCGAGGGCACGCCUGCCUGGGCGUCAGUU
RNAcentral lists this ribosomal RNA (170 nucleotides) under Juncus capillaceus. RNAcentral describes it as "5.8S ribosomal RNA". It matches the Rfam family "5.8S ribosomal RNA". Rfam says of the family: 5.8S ribosomal RNA (5.8S rRNA) is a component of the large subunit of the eukaryotic ribosome. The record is from RNAcentral. Lineage: Eukaryota; Viridiplantae; Streptophyta; Magnoliopsida; Poales; Juncaceae.